RNAcentral lists this ribosomal RNA (616 nucleotides) under Tetrahymena hegewischi. Its description in RNAcentral is "SSU rRNA". The stretch from base 1 to 544 matches the Rfam family "Bacterial small subunit ribosomal RNA", at positions 932 to 1533 of the family's 1533-position model. The record is from RNAcentral. Lineage: Eukaryota; Ciliophora; Oligohymenophorea; Hymenostomatida; Tetrahymenidae.
GUGGAACAUGUGGUUUAAUGCGAUAAUCCACGCAAAAUCUUACCAACGUUUUAGGCUUUAAUAGUAAUAUAGUUAAUACUAUAAUUAAAAGAUAAAGUUCGGAAUUGCAUGGCUGUCGUCAGUUCGUGCUGUGAAGUUUAGGAUUAAGUUUUUCUUAACGAAUGUAACCCUAUAAAUAAGUUUUUAAUUUUGAAUAAAUAAAUUUCUAAAUUAUUCUUAUUUAAUCUAUAAUCAAUUUUAAGAAAAUCUUUUUUUUUAUAAUUGAUUAUAGGGGUUUUAGGCUGAAGUCAAGUCCCUAUGGUCUUUAUACGUUGGGCUACACACGUGUUACAAGGAUAAAAACAAAGAGACGCAAUAGAGUAAUCUGGAGCAAAUCUCUAAAAAUUAUCUUAGUUCAGAUUGUUUUAUGAAAUUCUAAAACAUGAAGAUGAAAUCGUUAGUAAUUGUAAAUUAUAAUGUUACAGUGAAAUAAUUGUCAAAUUUUGCACACACCGCCCAUCACGCUCGAAAAGUCGAUAUUAGCGGAAGAUUUAAAAAUUUCUACAUAAUACUUAAUUAUUUAUAAUUAUGUAAUAAAUAUUAUUUUUUAAUAGUGUAGUUAAUAAGUAGUAUCUAA